Molecule: transfer RNA, 71 nt
Filed under: Neodontobutis hainanensis
Lineage: Eukaryota; Metazoa; Chordata; Actinopteri; Gobiiformes; Odontobutidae
Description: tRNA-Tyr
Rfam family: tRNA
About the family: Transfer RNA (tRNA) molecules are approximately 80 nucleotides in length. Their secondary structure includes four short double-helical elements and three loops (D, anti-codon, and T loops). Further hydrogen bonds mediate the characteristic L-shaped molecular structure. tRNAs have two regions of fundamental functional importance: the anti-codon, which is responsible for specific mRNA codon recognition, and the 3' end, to which the tRNAs corresponding amino acid is attached (by aminoacyl-tRNA synthetases). tRNAs cope with the degeneracy of the genetic code in two manners: having more than one tRNA (with a specific anti-codon) for a particular amino acid; and 'wobble' base-pairing, i.e. permitting non-standard base-pairing at the 3rd anti-codon position.
Source: RNAcentral
GGUAGGAUGGCUGAGAGUUCAAGCGGUGGACUGUAACCCCACAAACAGAGGUUUAAAUCCUCUUUCUAUCA